GAAGGUGUGCUGUGAGGCAUGCUGGAGGUAUCAGAAGUGCGAAUGCUGACAUAAGUAACGAUAAAGCGGGUGAAAAGCCCGCUCGCCGGAAGACCAAGGGUUCCUGUCCAACGUUAAUCGGGGCAGGGUGAGUCGACCCCUAAGGCGAGGCCGAAAGGCGUAGUCGAUGGGAAACAGGUUAAUAUUCCUGUACUUGGUGUUACUGCGAAGGGGGGACGGAGAAGGCUAUGUUGGCCGGGCGACGGUUGUCCCGGUUUAAGCGUGUAGGCUGGUUUUCCAGGCAAAUCCGGAAAAUCAAGGCUGAGGCGUGAUGACGAGGCACUACGGUGCUGAAGCAACAAAUGCCCUGCUUCCAGGAAAAGCCUCUAAGCAUCAGGUAACAUCAAAUCGUACCCCAAACCGACACAGGUGGUCAGGUAGAGAAUACCAAGGCGCUUGAGAGAACUCGGGUGAAGGAACUAGGCAAAAUGGUGCCGUAACUUCGGGAGAAGGCACGCUGAUAUGUAGGUGAAGUCCCUCGCGGAUGGAGCUGAAAUCAGUCGAAGAUACCAGCUGGCUGCAACUGUUUAUUAAAAACACAGCACUGUGCAAACACGAAAGUGGACGUAUACGGUGUGACGCCUGCCCGGUGCCGGAAGGUUAAUUGAUGGGGUUAGC
RNAcentral lists this ribosomal RNA (657 nucleotides) under Escherichia coli. Its description in RNAcentral is "partial 23S ribosomal RNA". It matches the Rfam family "Bacterial large subunit ribosomal RNA", at positions 1252 to 1894 of the family's 2925-position model. RNAcentral also lists the same sequence under 1 other name. The record is from RNAcentral. Lineage: Bacteria; Pseudomonadati; Pseudomonadota; Gammaproteobacteria; Enterobacterales; Enterobacteriaceae.